This 368-nucleotide unclassified non-coding RNA is filed under the name Aphyllocladus spartioides. RNAcentral describes it as "partial miscellaneous RNA". Lineage: Eukaryota; Viridiplantae; Streptophyta; Magnoliopsida; Asterales; Asteraceae. The record is from RNAcentral.
CAGCAACGUCCAUCCGUGCAAACCUCUUCAUUAGUGCGACAAGGUCGGAACGUCCUUGAGCACCUGUUGGGUUCCCUGUGCUGCAUACCUACCCGAUGGUAUCGUAUCGUUGUAUCGAUGUCCCUUUUCAUCAUGUGUCGCUGCGCGGCAUGGGGUGAACCUCGAAGCGGUCCCUUCGAUCCAGCUCGUCGACGCGUAUGCGUCGUCGUAAUGGCUCGUUGGGCACCGCUUGGUUUCUCGGAUACGGAACCUCAUGUGGGUAUGGGGUCUUUAAGACCACGUGUUUGCCCUUAUYGAGCGUUCUCGCUUCUUUGAAACGACCGUCGGUCACGUGCUGACAUGCUCGUGCGUGGCCGUCGACGUCGAAG